Molecule: ribosomal RNA, 414 nt
Filed under: uncultured Bifidobacterium sp.
Lineage: Bacteria; Bacillati; Actinomycetota; Actinomycetes; Bifidobacteriales; Bifidobacteriaceae
Description: bacterial SSU rRNA
Rfam family: Bacterial small subunit ribosomal RNA
Source: RNAcentral
CUCCAGUUGAUCGCAUGGUCUUCUGGGAAAGCUUUCGCGGUAUGGGAUGGGGUCGCGUCCUAUCAGCUUGACGGCGGGGUAACGGCCCACCGUGGCUUCGACGGGUAGCCGGCCUGAGAGGGCGACCGGCCACAUUGGGACUGAGAUACGGCCCAGACUCCUACGGGAGGCAGCAGUGGGGAAUAUUGCACAAUGGGCGCAAGCCUGAUGCAGCGACGCCGCGUGAGGGAUGGAGGCCUUCGGGUUGUAAACCUCUUUUAUCGGGGAGCAAGCGAGAGUGAGUUUACCCGUUGAAUAAGCACCGGCUAACUACGUGCCAGCAGCCGCGGUAAUACGUAGGGUGCAAGCGUUAUCCGGAAUUAUUGGGCGUAAAGGGCUCGUAGGCGGUUCGUCGCGUCCGGUGUGAAAGUCCAU